CCCCUCUCAGGAUGGCACCUGGAGAGUUUCCAGUACUCUACCAGUCUCGGCUAUGGGAGGGAGAGUCAAGCAGAGGUAUUCCAUUCCUUGCUUGGGCAGUGGCUAGCGAGUGGAAGGCAAUCUGCUACAAGU
This is a small nucleolar RNA of Tachyglossus aculeatus (Australian echidna), 132 nucleotides long. NCBI's taxonomy places the organism in Eukaryota, Metazoa, Chordata, Mammalia, Monotremata, Tachyglossidae. The record is from RefSeq and is a predicted model, not a curated record.